RNAcentral lists this ribosomal RNA (490 nucleotides) under uncultured bacterium. RNAcentral's name for it is "bacterial SSU rRNA". It matches the Rfam family "Bacterial small subunit ribosomal RNA", at positions 29 to 513 of the family's 1533-position model. The record is from RNAcentral.
AACGAACGCUGGCGGCGCGCCUAAUACAUGCAAGUCGAGCGAGAAGACGUAGCAAUACGUUUGUAAAGCGGCGAACGGGUGAGGAAUACAUGGGUAACCUACCCUCGAGUGGGGAAUAACUAGCCGAAAGGUUAGCUAAUACCGCGUACGCUCCUUGGACUUCGGUUCAGGGAGGAAAGCGAUACCGUGGGUAUCGCGCUCUUGGAUGGGCUCAUGUCCUAUCAGCUUGUUGGUGAGGAACGGCUCACCAAGGCUUCGACGGGUAGCUGGUCUGAGAGGACGAUCAGCCACACUGGCACUGCGACACGGGCCAGACUCCUACGGGAGGCAGCAGUAAGGAAUAUUGCGCAAUGGGCGAAAGCCUGACGCAGCGACGCCGCGUGGGGGAUGAAGGUCUUCGGAUUGUAAACCCCUUUCGGGAGGGAAGAUGGAACGAGCAAUCGUUCGGACGGUACCUCCAGAAGCAGCCACGGCUAACUUCGUGCCAGCA